GUGUCUAUAGUUGGUAGUGUGUUUGCCUCACAUGUACAAAGCCCUGGGUUCAAUCCCCAGCAACACA
This 67-nucleotide transfer RNA is filed under the name Marmota monax (woodchuck). Its description in RNAcentral is "tRNA.Val". The record is from RNAcentral. Lineage: Eukaryota; Metazoa; Chordata; Mammalia; Rodentia; Sciuridae.